GCCUCUGCACGAUUCAGGUAAGUGGAAUAAAAUACAUUGUAAAUAAACAUUAUUAAAACAGAUUGUGAAGUCAUUCAUUCAAAACUUGCUAUGACCUAAGCCUAAAUGACUUAAUUUCUUUUUAGAAUUAAGACAACCUUAGCAGGAGAGCCCCAGCAGUAACUUUCUCUCAAGCAGAUGAGCAAUAAGUUGCUUUGUAUGAACACCACCCUAACAAUCAAGUAGCCUGUUAACAGUAGACCAAAGGUAUGAUGAUCAAUUAUAAAUGCAAUAUGGUUGAAAGGUCAGUAAACAAACAACAAAAAGGUAAUUUCUUAAUAGAAUGUCUAUACAUUUUUUGCUUUUGUUACAUAUUUCAUACAUCAAAAUCAUUAAACGUUAAUAAUUAUGUAUUCCAACUUGUUGCAGCUUGACAAAAAUGUAGCUUGAAGGAGAAGGGACAGCUGAGUAACAAAGUCCUGGUACGCAGACGACGAUACUAUUACACUGACAAGAGUGUAAUGAUGAUGGAGACACAAGCCAGAGAAAGUGGGGACCAAACACCAGGCCAGAAUUCUGCAUGAGUCAGAUCCAGUGGGUGCAGAUCAUCAUACAGAUGGUUCAAGUGUGGAUCCACCUAA
Molecule: non-coding RNA, 620 nt
Organism: Paramisgurnus dabryanus
Lineage: Eukaryota; Metazoa; Chordata; Actinopteri; Cypriniformes; Cobitidae
Source: RefSeq, a predicted model, not a curated record